CAAGUUUGGAGAAAUUUUUUGUGACAGUAACCUGUUCCCACAAAUAUUAGCUAGUGGAGCAGCGAUUUGAACCUCAGUCUCUGUGACUCCACAGACCUUGUACUCAACCCUUUGUUAUGACUCAGCAAUGAGUUAGUUUGUAUUUUUAAGAAUGUUGGAAUCUAUCAGGUCUUUGCAAAUAAUUCUUUUUCACAGCCAAGACUUCUCUGAAGCACAAAGAUUCUCUGGAGGAUGAAAUCAUCCAACUCAGUCAAUAAACAUCUAUCUGAAGUAGUAACACUUUUUGUUUCUGCUUUAGAGGAGAUUGCUGAUACCAGACUCGAAGAACAUGAGCACUAUGAGAUGGGGUUUUGCCAUGUUGCCCAGGCUGGUCUCAAACUCCUCAGCUUAAGU
Molecule: long non-coding RNA, 393 nt
Filed under: Homo sapiens (human)
Lineage: Eukaryota; Metazoa; Chordata; Mammalia; Primates; Hominidae
Description: HSALNT0062659
Source: RNAcentral